Molecule: long non-coding RNA, 354 nt
Filed under: Actinidia chinensis (golden kiwifruit)
Lineage: Eukaryota; Viridiplantae; Streptophyta; Magnoliopsida; Ericales; Actinidiaceae
Description: long non-coding RNA (ACHI_LNC001037)
Source: RNAcentral
CCUUGAAGAUCGCUCUGCAACAAUUAUCGUUCAAAGUAAGGACUGAUCUUCCAUUACACGAAGCUUUUAGACGCUUUUGAAGUAAGUUUUUCUCACUCCACAUGUCAUUUUUCUGAAUUUCUAGUCAUCCGCUCUCUUCGAUCUUUGCUCAAUUACCCUCAAGAUCUCUCUCUCAAUUUCAAUCUCACACUAGAAAUCCAAGAUUGCAAAACAUAGAACAAAAACCUAGAUCCAUCAAAACCCUAGAAAACAAUGACGAUCGUUGUUUAGAUACUUGCCUUUUCUUGUCUUUUCUUCUUGGUUAGAUACUUAGAUGUCGCUCUAGGGUUCAUAUUUAUUUCUCUGUAUGUUUUU